CCGAUGGUUCCAGAAUUUGCCUUGUGACUCCAUCACAAAUAAACAAAAAUUAUUAACCCCAGGAUACAACCCUGGGCUAUGCUCACUAUGCUCACAGAGAGAAUUAAAAAACUCUCCCACUCACACAAUCCCAACCCUUUCCAACGGUACCACUCACCAGCCAGCAGUCUUUGAACAGCGGUUUGAGCGCCGGCAAAAGAUCUCAGCCGAAGCAGCAAUCCAGAGGCAUGGCCAGGGGGCGGUGGUACUCAAGAGAGCGAUAAAUGUCUAAAUACGAGCAAUUCGGAUUUGCUCGUAUUCAUAAGGGAAUUUUCAGGUCGAUCUCGGCAUGCUAGCACUCGCCAGUUCAAUUUCGCUACGAACGUACAGCGAGCAGUAAGUGCGCGCCGGAUUAACGUUCGAAAAGAUACUAUUACAGCAGUAAACUAAACGUCAAAAUUAGUGUUGUUAGUAGUGUUAAAAGUUAUAAAAAGUGGUUAGUAGUGUUAAAACGAAAUCUAAAUGUAAAAAUGCUUUAAAGUCUAUUGUCUUAGUCUAGGGUAGUUGCACCGAGUAUAGUGCAACAAACAUAUACAAGCACAGAACAAAUUAAAAUCAAGCAGGAAAAAGGUAAAUACUUGCACAAAUAGUGUUUAUUAGUAAAAACAAGCUAAAACAGACUCCCUAAUACGACUAAAAUGCGGUUUUAAGAUAAAAGUGAGAACACGUUGUGGAAGACUAAUGGCCGUGGUAGGUCCACAAAGGGCCUUUUUCUUUUAUAUUAUUUGCCAGCUUUGUGGAAGGACGCCAUCUUUAUUCCUCCAAUAAGCCACAAAGGAGUAUCGGUGAUCCUUUCAUUCACCAAGGAAGCCAUCUUGUCGCUGAUUGGCAUACCAAGGAUCCUCGGAGACUGAGCGUCGGACGUCGAUUGAUCGCUGGACGUACUCCGGCAAAUCCGUGGACCAUAUAACGACUGACAAGUUACACCAUCGGUCGGGUUUGAGAAAGGUCACGAGGACUAGGACCCACUGACGUCAUCUGUUGUCCCGGUGGUCACCAGGCGUUGCCCGCCGUCCCGGAUUUCCACUCGAUCAGCUCCAUCGCUCUGACAGCUCGUCAGUCACCACCACGAUCCCAAGCCACAAUCCGACAGCCCGCAGUGUACCAACCAGAGUCAAAAACCGCAAGUAGUAGACAUAGAAUGUGACGUCACAAUAGCAUUAGAUAAUAAGCCAUGGCCAAUUCACAACCAAACAAUUGUAAAUAUUUGUAAUAUAAGAUGUGCACGUAA
This is a long non-coding RNA of Aedes albopictus (Asian tiger mosquito), 1270 nucleotides long. RefSeq lists it as uncharacterized. The record is from RefSeq and is a predicted model, not a curated record. Lineage: Eukaryota; Metazoa; Arthropoda; Insecta; Diptera; Culicidae. The transcript is spliced from 2 exons.